GCAAUAUAUAAAUUUUCUUGCAUAUAAAAACUGAAAAUAGCACUCAGUUAAUUAUAGUUAUCACCAUGUAGUUCGGUUUUUUCUCUUGAUUGAAGAAUUACCAUCACAGGAAGUAGCUGCUCUGCAGUGAAUAGUAAGCUGCAAUGGGAUUGGACAAAGGAAUUUUAUAAAGGUUGUGACAUGUGACAGAGCUUCAAUAAGCAAAAUGCAUGUUAUUUAAAAAAUGUUGAGGUGCAUUCACACUGUGCGACAGGUACUGAAACUGUGCCAAAAAAUGUGACGUGUGAUGUAGUUAUGUUAUUUCAUAGAUAAAUACAUCGAAAAUGUCAAUCUUCUAAACAGAGCUAUUCCUUCCUGAGACAUGAAAUACUCCUGUACUUAUAUCAGGCUGGUUUUCAAUGUUCAAAUCAGGCACAAACAAGGCUGUUAAUUUACAAUUGAUAUGCCAUCAAAAUCUUCCAAGCCUCAUCUCCAUCUUUAAGAGUUCAAACAUCAAAUUACGGUGAAUAGAACAUUCUUUAGAUCAAAUCAAUGUUAAGCAUUUUGUCUGAUUACUGAUUACUCGAAAAGGGUUUAAGUCUUUAGACAAGAAAACCAAUUUGCUUUGAAAAUUGGUGUGAAGCCAAAUCCAAAUUCAGGUUAUCUAUAUCAAUAUCUAAUGAUGAGCCAAAGGGUUAUCCUCAAACAAAUUUCUAAAAUUCUGCAUUGUAAUUACUAGCUUUUGUGAAAUAAAAAAAAUAAUUCUAUUGCAAAUUAAUCCUUCAGGGCUUGUGUUAAUUAUAUUAUUUUUUCUCCAUUUAUUAAUAUAUAUAUAUAUGCAAAUGAGACAGCAACCCAAAAGUUAACAGUUUCCACAACAAUAUACAAGAGUUGAAGAUGAAGUAACAGAAAUAGGCUUGGUUUAAGUGUCACAGUUUGUCUCAGGAAGGAAACCUAUGCUCCUCACUGUUUGACAGAUUGCUAGUGUGUUAAAAUUUAAGUGCAGUAUUUUCUAAAAUUUAUAUGAAUAGCUUUAAGCAAGUGUUUGUAUCAAUCAAAAUUGCACCCUCUAUCAAUUAAAAAAAAACUUGUCAACCAAAAUAAGGCAUAUAUUAAUUAUGAUAAUUUCCAACUUCAGAAAUACAUAUCCAUGAUAUCCAGUAAACAAAAAUUCAAAAUUGAUAAUAAUUUUCUUGACAAGUAGAAAUACUCUUAAGAAUUUACUGCUGUUUGAUAAUUUUUCAAAUAAAUAUAUUUUAAGAAUUUACUGCACUUGACCCUGGAAUGUUGUGAUGAUUGAGUGUACCAAGAUGUUUUUUUACCUCAACAAAUUUGUGAUUUUAAUAGUUUUUAUAAUGUUUCUAUUUUAGUUAUAUAAAUUUUUUAACGAAAUGUUCUUAUGCGAUAGUUUUCUAAACCUAUCUUCUGUCUAAUUAUGUAUGCAGAUCAUUACUUUAUAAAACUGUACCUUAUUUUGUUACUAAUAAGCUGUAAACAUGGUAAAGUGUAGUUUUGUGUAAAAUUAUGUUUCAAAUUUUUUGUUGCCUCUAAAAGAAUAUGUCACAAGGUUUGAAAGGGAAGGAAGCAUAAGCAGUAUUAAAAGGUCAUCUUUCAAGUUCUCUUAAACGGAAUUGUGUCUGAAAACAAUUAUGAUAAAACCCUUUUAGUCCUUAGAGGAAUUUUGAGAUGACCCUUUUAAUAUUACAUUGAUGUUUUGUGAUUACAUUCAAUUUAUCCUGGGAAUUGUACAAAUUGUGCCACAAUUAAUUAUGAAUUCUCCAUAUCCGAACGGAAUAACAUUUUUAAUAUGUGAAAAUAUUCCCAAUUUUUUCCUUAUUUAAAUUGUUUUUAAUGAAAUCAUGGUGUGAAUAAAUUGAUUAAUUAUGGCAUUAUUUGACAACAGAAAGUGUUAAAACCAUUGCUAAAUAUGUAAAUUACUUUUCUAUGAUGGUGCCUUAUGUACUGAUUGUAAAAUUCUUAAAUUAUAUUCAUCAAUCAUUUAUGUGGUGUCUUUGUCAUAUUUGUUUGUAAACAAAUGAUGUGUGUAAACAGAAUGGCUUACAAAUUAAUGGGCAAAAAUAUAUCAGCAUUGUUUAGGCUUAGUUGAAAUGUCCAACUAAUCUAUAGAAUUAUCCUUGUCAAAGGAAAACAAAAUCUUGUUUGUAUAGAUACUAUUUUUGUAGCUUUUAAACAGAAACAUUAGAGUUAAAAUGAAGACCUAUUUAAAAAUUCCUUAUGAACUUCUCAAAAAUAUUGCCCAUCAAGAAUGAACUUUUUUAUCAGUUUAAUGAUAACCUUAAGAGACAUAUCUGUAUAGAGUUAAGUAGUUCAAACAAAUAAGCUUCUAUAUAACUUAGAUUCAAGCUUCAUUGCAACAUAGAUCAAAGCUUUGCCAUACAUAGAUCCCAGCUUCCUCUGUAAACGUAACAUUUUAUAACAUAUGAAAUUAUCAUGGGUUGUUUUUAUUAACUUUGUAUAUAAUAUUAUCUUAUGAAAUAUUUGUUUGUAUGUUUUUAAUUUAAAGUAAGGGACUGGCUCAAUUUAAAAUAAGGGACUGUCUCAAACUAAAAUAAGGGACUGUUUCAAACUAAGGAGAGAAAGACAUUCUUUGAUAUGUUUCAUGCAAUUGUAUGCAGGACAAUAUGAAAGAAUAGUUUUCCUUACCAUGUUCAAUGUUUUAGUGUACAAGACCCAAUAGAAAUAGUUUCAUAUCAAAAUACAGAAAUAUUAUCAGAAUUUUUUUUUCAAGAAAAAAAUAUUCUUUGAUGUCAGUUUAAUAUUAGAAUUAAGAUUUUUUCAUACAAAACAUUUUGUGACUUAAAGUUCGUUUGAAAUAUCUCGUAAAUGUGAACACAUCUUAUAAAUAUUAAACACGAACCUGUAAUAUUUGUAAAAGGUACAUUCAUAAAUUGAAAUUGAAAUCCUUAGACUUGUUGUUUUUUUUGCAAUAAUUAAAAUUGUUGAAUCAAUUAGAAAUGAAAUUGAAACUGUUCUGUUAGAUUUCAAACAUCAUGUACAUGUAAAUAUAAUAUCUCAAAAUCAGCAAAGACUAUUUCUAUUGCUGUCAAGUUUCUAUAUGUAUGGAGAGCAGUUUAAGACAUCUAUUUUCUAUAAGUGUAUGGAGAGCAGUUUAAGACAUCUAUUUUCUAUAUGUAUGGAGAGCAGUUUAAGACAUCGAUUUUCUAUAUGUAUGAAGAGCAGUUUAAGAAAUCUAUUUUCAUGAACUUUUAAGGAGAGGAUAACACUGCUUUGUUAAGAAAGAUGAUAUUUCGAAAAAAUAUACUUUGACCUAUUGAGACAGUCCCUAGUUUUAUGAUUUUUUAAGAGUCCUUUUAAAAUGGCAUCCACAAAAUACCUCAAACUUGAAAAAAUAUAUUGUUCUAACUUUUGUGUUAACUUUUUGUUUUCUGAAGGAGUGCACAAGGUCACAAUGUAAAAUUAGUCUUGUUUUUGUCAGAGUUUAAGUAACUUCCAAGAAUGGUCCAAAAAAAUAUAGAUAUUUUGACUUUAAGUAGCAGUGAAUUUAUGAUAGGACCACAAUUACAAGAUGAAGUAAAAUAUAAACUUGAUUUCUGAGUCUGGCAUCCAUGCUUUAUAAAAAAAAUCUGACACUGUUCUUCAGGAACCACACAUGUUUGGCAGGAAUCCUAUAGCUAACUUUAUGGAAUAUUUAUGAUUUUACAUUUAACAAGUGCAUGAAGUCUUAAAACAAAUGUAAUAAAAAGUUCAUGAAGACUUGAUUGAGUAUAAAACAUAUUGACAGAUAAAAUUUAUUUGCCAAUAUUAAUUUUUUCUUUAAACAUUAAUUAGCAUAUGAAUUAUAUUUUUUCUUCCUUCGUUUAGUUUCGAUUAUAUUCCAGAGAAAAUUAUUUUUAGUAUAUUUAAAAAAAAAAUGUUUGGACUUUUUAUAGGAAUAGAAGUUUUAUUUUGUUUAUUUUGAAGGAAGGCUUUAUUUUGGUAUGCAUACAAUACGAAUUAACUGUGUGGCUCUCUAUUUAUUAUCAAAUAUAAUUGAUUUUCAUCAAAAUUCACUUUCAAAAUUAAGGCAAACGCAGAAACAAAAAAGUUGAAAUCUGGAUAUGCUGUUCCUGAGGACUUUUAUUUAUCAGUUCUUCAACAAAGUUUAGUUUGCUACUAGAAAAUUAAAUAUUGGUUUCAACUUUUAGUUUUCGCUACAGACAAUCAUUAUUGAUUUACUAAAUAAACAAUAAAUUAUUGGCUCUAUUAAAAAGCUUUUUUCUUUUCUUAAUUUUAUACAUUUAAAAUACUUUUUUCCUAUAUAUAAAGCAAUUCUAUUUUAAGAAUUGAUUGUUGAAUUAUUUUUUAAACUUUGUCAAGUUAACUGCAAAAAUGAGAAGAAAAAAACCUUGAUUUGAAUCACCCCUUGCAAAUUAAGUAUAGUCUAUAGAUGGAGAUUUUUUUCGAAUUAUGUGAAAUUUUAGCAUACUAAGCUGGAAGAUUUACAUUGCAAGCACCUUAAGUGUGAAUUGGCCGAGACAUUUCGUUCCGGUAACUUUCGUACUUGUAGAACUUUUUGGUUUAAUUCAGGGUAAAAUACUUCAAAGCUUGAACACAGCUGGGGAACAGGAGAUGGAGCAAACUUGAUAAAUUUUGAGUUUUAAAAAUUUCAAAUAAUGGUGGAACACCCCUUACAUGCAUGUUUAAAUUUUCAGUUAGGGGUGGGCCAAAAUACUUGAUUGAAAAGUAUUAUGUUUCUGAAAGAUGUUUAAACAUACUGAAGUCUGUUUGCAAAUCAUUUGUUUUACUACAGGUCAGCUAUCUCCCCUUAUAUAUAUUACAGGUGAGUUAUCUCCCCUUAUGUAUAACAGCUUAGUUAUCUCCCCUUAUACAUUUCAGAUUAGUUAUCUCCCCUUAUGUGUGAUAGUGACAUAACCAGUUGGAAACCGUGAUAAAUGAUUGUUUAUUUUCUUGUUUGUUUAUGUUUGUUUUACAUUUUAUGUCUCUUUUAUUGCUGAUAAUGUAAACAAAAGUGUUUAUGUGAAAAUAUAUAAUUACAUUGUUAAUCACUAUGAAAUUUGUACAUAGAAAUAGCAUUAUUUUUGCUACGUCCAUAAUACUAUUAUUAUAUAAAUAUAUAUAUAAAGUUUCAAAUUAUAAGCAUUUUAAGGAAAUUUUAUGAAUUGUUACAAGGAUGUUGAUGGUGUUAAUUCAAAUAUCAACAUUUUCAUAAAUUAUGUUUAAAAAAAUAUAUUGUAUAAUAUACCAAUUUCAUUGGAAAAUUAAGAUACGCCCUUGUCCUUGUUUUAUUAGACAUUUUAGAAAUUUUAAUACUGUUUUAAAGAAUAUCAAAUAAGCACAAAAUGAAGAAAUCGAUAGUUACUUUUAUAGUUUUAUAUUGUAAAUUUAUACCUACAGAAAGGGCAUUAAUUGAUAUGAUAUGAAACCAAAAUAUUAAUUCUUGUAAUUUGAAAAUCAUUUUGAAUAAAUUAUAGAUUGCACUAUAACAGAACAAUUAAUGAUUUUCCUUGAAUGCUCAUAAACGAAUAUAAUUUGAUAUAUAUAGAGAGAAUAUACCCUGUAUACUUGUAAAUAGAUUGUUUGUUUCAGUGCAUCAUGUGACUAUGUCUGCCUUUUCUUAUUGGGCAGUACACACAUCACAUGACUAUGUCUGCCUCUUCUUAUUGGGCAGUACACACAUCAUGUGACUAUGUCUGCCUCUUCUUAUUGGGCAGUACACACAGCCAAAAUUUAUAUCUCUACUCAUGUCUAAUUCAUUUUUUAUUGAAUAAAGAAGUUCUGAUUAGAAAUUUUACUAUAAACAAUAUAGUCAAUAGGAGCGAAACAAGAUAACCUUCCUCUAAGUUUUAUAAAAAAAAAAUUUAUUGGUUUGAAGAUGCAUCAUUUCUUUAAAGAAAAUUCAAAAUAAUAAAAAAUACAGAGAAAUAAAAUGAAAACAAAAUUGACAAAAAUCCCUAAAUAUGUGUGUUUGAAUACUGAUAUUAAUAUCGAAGUUUCAGGUUCAUUUAUUAUGAAUUGUAUUGAAUCCAGUGAAUUUUUAACAAAAUUAUGGUACAAAUAUUUACCAUACUAUUUUUUUAUGAACUUGAAUCCCUGUUCUUAUUUUGCUCAAAAGUCAUUUCAAGACACCUCGUAGUGAUCUGCUCGUAAAAUCUAAAUAUGAUGAUAACGAUGUUAAAUCUUCUAGAAGAAAACAGUACAUAACAAGAUAUGAGUCAUUGAUGUAUUUUAAUUAUUCAUUUAUUUUUUUAUAUUAUUAUAAAUUGAGUUUGCGUUUAUUCAUUUCUUGCACUUUAAAAAGGACAUGUUUUUUUCAUUAAUGAAAACAUGAUGUUUGUUUUCGGCACUUCAUCCUUUCGCAUCUUAAAACUGAAAUCUAGUCAGGGCUUUUAUGUUGGCUGUCCCUUUUAACCCCCCUUUUUAAAUAGACUUUUGUUGAUAGAAGAUAUAGACUUAUUAAUAGUAUGUUGGUGAAAGGUCAUAGAUAUUUAUUUUAUGUGUAAUCCAGAUAUUAUGAUAACAAAACUUAAUCUAAGGAAAUAUGGCAACUUUUUUUUACCCAUUUGAUAUUCAAAAUUGAUAAAAUUUUAUUCAGGUUGAUACCAUUAGGCCUACACAACAUCUAAUGUGACAAAAUUAUUAAUGUUCCUUCAAAAAUGGGAUAUAUUUUGGAAUCAUUUUGGAAAAAUCAGGUAAGAGCAAGCUAUUGCACAUGUUGCAGAAUAAAAAACUACACAAUAAUUUCCUCUGACACCCUGUGAUAUAAAUCACAUACAUCAGCUUAAGAAGCUUUUUGGAAUACUUUUGUCAGAAAUUUCUGAAGACUCACUAGUGGUAUUUGGGAAAGCCUUGUCAAGAUUAUCUAAAAUAUAAAAUGUGGAACAUUUGUCUGAACUCUUGAAAUUUUCCAUCAAAUAUCAUUAGGAAAUCAUAUCAGAAAUCUCUGAAACUUUAAAAUUAAAUAACAUAGGGAAACCAAUUUAAGAUAUUCCAGAUACCUUGGUAAAUGGAUACCCAGCUUAUACUACAUCAGUAAUUUUCUGGUUAAAUGUUUUGAUGAUAUCUGGAUUAGACAUAAAGUACUUCAUUUAUGUUCACUGUAAGCCAACUAUGAAGCUUUUUUCCUUUUGCUACAGCCUAGCAUUUGUUUCUUUUAACACAGAUUUUACUGUAAUGUUUGGAUUAUAUGGUAACUACCAAAAAACUGUAAACACAGAAUAAAGUCAUGUAUCAUCAGUUGUAAAAAUAGGGGUUGAUUAACAAAAUUUGAGCAAGGGUUACUUACCUUUUGUUGCCAUAUGUGCAGAAAUACUUUUUUAAAUCCGCCAAAUUCAAGUUGUUAUACAGCCCUCUAAAAUGUAAACAUGUUGUUUUCUGAACAAUUUUUAUUUCUAUAGCCUUGCUUAAUCAAUGACUGCGAUUUAGUAUGGAUCUCUAUCAAAUGUUUUUGUACAGCAUAUUUCACUUUGGCGAGUAAAAAAAGAAUCCAAAAUGGCAGCGAAGGGAAGUAACUUUGACUCAAAUUAGGUCACAAACCUAUCUUUACAUUUAUUAUUUUAAACAUCAGCAUCCAAGGAUGAAACAUAUUGCUUAUGAAGCACUUGUAGUUUUAUCCAUAAAAAAGAGUUCAUGUGUGUGAAGUAAUUAAUGAAAAAGUAUAACAGAUAAGAACGACAACUUUAUAUCCUUAUAAAAAAAGGUUAUUUCAAAGAUUGUUUAUGUAAACUACACAUAAUUUAAAUUUCUGAAUUAUUUCAAGACAUUCAAAUUACAGAUACAUGUACUUGAACUUCUUUCAGGACAGAAAAACAGUUUGACUAGUUACAUAAUAAAAUGCAGCAUAACUUGCAUUUUAGUUAUUUCCGAAGGAGUUACCAUAGAAACCAGUCAUAUGUUGUUGUUUGUUUGUACAUAAUGAUUUAAAUUUUUAUACAUAAUGUAUUAAUUAAUCCCAAAAGUGGGUGUUGGGCUGUAUAGGAAAAUAUUUUCUUUCAGAAAAAAUACCAGUUGAAAAUAAACUUAAAUCAUUAUUAUAUAAACAUGUGUAUUUGUUUUAAUUAAAUAUUGCCUUAUUUCUCUGUAGUGCUGAAGAUUUAAGUGGCUGAAUGCAGUUGCAGCUAUCUAACAUUAAUCCCUGAAAACAAAAAACAUACAAGCAACAGUAGUAUACCAUUGUAACAAAUCCGGGUUACAAACUAAAACUGAGUGAAACACAUCAACUAAAUGUAUAAGAGAAAAACAAAGAAACAAAAGAAACACUGAAGUGCAACAAAAACCAAACGACAAUGCAACACACACAAAAAUAUAUAUAAGAUAACAACUGCCAUUUUCUUGACUUGGUACAGGACAUUUUAAGAAAAAAAAUGGUAGGUUGAACCUGGUUUUGUGGCUAGCCAAAC
RNAcentral lists this long non-coding RNA (8357 nucleotides) under Mytilus galloprovincialis (Mediterranean mussel). The record is from RNAcentral. Lineage: Eukaryota; Metazoa; Mollusca; Bivalvia; Mytilida; Mytilidae.